UCAAGUCAGCAUGGCCUUUAUAUCCUGGGCUACACACACGCUACAAUGGGAAGGGACAAUAGGUUGCGAAGCCGCGAGGCGGAGCCAAUCCAGCAAAACUUCCUCAGUUCAGAUUGCAGGCUGCAACUCGCCUGCAUGAGGUUGGAGUUGCUAGUAAACGCAGGUCAGCCAUACUGCGUUGAAUACGGUUCCCGGGGCUU
Molecule: ribosomal RNA, 200 nt
Filed under: uncultured Levilinea sp.
Lineage: Bacteria; Bacillati; Chloroflexota; Anaerolineae; Anaerolineales; Anaerolineaceae
Description: partial 16S ribosomal RNA
Rfam family: Bacterial small subunit ribosomal RNA
Source: RNAcentral